This 1536-nucleotide ribosomal RNA is filed under the name Alyxoria mougeotii. RNAcentral describes it as "partial large subunit ribosomal RNA". It matches the Rfam family "Eukaryotic large subunit ribosomal RNA", at positions 177 to 1398 of the family's 3401-position model. The record is from RNAcentral. Lineage: Eukaryota; Fungi; Ascomycota; Arthoniomycetes; Arthoniales; Lecanographaceae.
CGGGUCAAGUCCCUUGGAACAGGGCGCCACUGAGGGUGAGAGCCCCGUAUCCGCCCGGGUCGCCAUCGCCGCAGGAAGCCCCUUCGACGAGUCGGGCUGUUUGGGAAUGCAGCUCCAAGCGGGAGGUAAAUUCCUUCUAAGGCUAAACACCGGCCGGAGACCGAUAGCGCACAAGUAGAGUGAUCGAAAGAUGAAAAGCACUUUGGAAAGAGAGUCAAACAGCACGUGAAAUUGUUGAAAGGGAAGCUCUUGCCGCCAGACCGGCCGCGGUCGCGCAGCCGCGCUCCAACGCGCGGUGCACCCGUCCGCGGCAGGCCAGCGCCGGCUCGGGCGGUCGCACAAAGGCCUCGGGAAAGUAGCCCCCCGCGGGGGGUGUUAUAGCCCGGGGUGCAAUGCGAUCAGCCCGGACCGAGGCACGCGUUCGCUAGGGCGCUGGCGUAAUGGCCGCAAGCGACCCGUCUUGAAACACGGACCAGUAAGCACCACCCCCCCGGCCUUCGGGCCCUCCCCCCCGGGUGUAUCGGCAUGCUAACGUGACGCCACUGCAGAGGAGUCUAACAUCUGUGCGAGUGUUUGGGUGUCCAAGCCCAUACGCGUAAUGAAAGUGAACGGAGGUGGGAACCCCUUUACCGGGACGCACCAUCGACCGAUCCUGAUGUCUUCGGAUGGAUUUGAGUAAGAGCAUUUAUGUUGGGACCCGAAAGGUUAGUUCUCUCGACACGGCCCCGAAGCCACGACGACGGGUAUGCUAACGACUCGGCGAGCAGAUGGUGAACUAUGCUUGGAUAGGGUGAAGCCAGAGGAAACUCUGGUGGAGGCUCGCAGCGGUUCUGACGUGCAAAUCGAUCGUCAAAUCUGAGUAUAGGGGCGAAAGACCAAUCGAACCAUCUAGUAGCUGGUUCCUGCCGAAGUUUCCCUCAGGAUAGCAGUAACGCCUCCAGUUUUAUGAGGUAAAGCGAAUGUUUAGGGACGUUGGGGUUGAAACAACCUUGUAAGUGCCGCCCACCGCAGCGGAUAGCCCACCGGACGAACGCAACGCUAACCCGUCCGAACCCCAGGCGCCAUUCACAAACUUUAAAUAUGUAAGAAGCCCUUGUUGCUUAGGUGAACGUGGGCCUUCGAAUGUACCGUUACUAGUGGGCCAUUUUUGGUAAGCAGAACUGGCGAUGCGGGAUGAACCGAAAGCGGGGUUAAGGUGCCGGAGUGGACGCUCAUCAGACACCACAAAAAGUGUUAGUUCAUCUAGACAGCAGGUACGUCAGCGGACAGCGCCCCUAAACAGCACCGGCCGGGAGCACUCGCUAAUCUAUCCCCACAGGACGGUGGCCAUGGAAGUCGGAACCCGCUAAGGAUCGUGUAACAACUCAGUAAGUCGAGAUACAGCUAUUCCCAUCCGCGCAUUUGGUUUGCUAACCUAGGUAACCCCUCAGCCUGCCGAAUGAACUAGCCUUGAAAAUGGAUGGCGCUUAAGCGUCCCACCCACACCCCGCCGCCGGGGCGGAAGCGAAGCCCCGGCGAGUAGGCAGGCGCGGGGGU